RNAcentral lists this ribosomal RNA (492 nucleotides) under uncultured bacterium. RNAcentral's name for it is "partial 16S ribosomal RNA". It matches the Rfam family "Bacterial small subunit ribosomal RNA", at positions 29 to 507 of the family's 1533-position model. The record is from RNAcentral.
AUUGAACGCUGGCGGCAUGCUUUACACAUGCAAGUCGAACGGUAACAGGCCUUCGGGUGCUGACGAGUGGCGAACGGGUGCGUAAUGCAUCGGAACGUGCCCAGAGGUGGGGGAUAACGCAGCGAAAGCUGUGCUAAUACCGCAUGUGAUCUGAGGAUGAAAGCGGGGGACCAGGCAGCAAUGUUUGGCCUCGCGCCUUUGGAGCGGCCGAUGUCAGAUUAGGUAGUUGGUGGGGUAAAGGCCUACCAAGCCGACGAUCUGUAGCUGGUCUGAGAGGACGACCAGCCACACUGGGACUGAGACACGGCCCAGACUCCUACGGGAGGCAGCAGUGGGGAACUGUGGACAGUGGGCGCAAGCCUGGUACAGCAAUGCCGCGUGCGGGAAGAAGGCGUUCGGGUUGUAAAGCGGUUUUGUGCGGAACGAAAAGGCUCUGGCUAAUACCUGGGGCUGAUGACGGUACCGUAAGAAUAAGCACCGGCUAACUACGUG